Molecule: ribosomal RNA, 293 nt
Filed under: Vibrio cholerae
Lineage: Bacteria; Pseudomonadati; Pseudomonadota; Gammaproteobacteria; Vibrionales; Vibrionaceae
Description: partial 16S ribosomal RNA
Rfam family: Bacterial small subunit ribosomal RNA
Source: RNAcentral
AGAUACUGACACUCAGAUGCGAAAGCGUGGGGAGCAAACAGGAUUAGAUACCCUGGUAGUCCACGCCGUAAACGAUGUCUACUUGGAGGUUGUGCCCUAGAGGUGUGGCUUUCGGAGCUAACGCGUUAAGUAGACCGCCUGGGGAGUACGGUCGCAAGAUUAAAACUCAAAUGAAUUGACGGGGGCCCGCACAAGCGGUGGAGCAUGUGGUUUAAUUCGAUGCAACGCGAAGAACCUUACCUACUCUUGACAUCCAGAGAAUCUAGCGGAGACGCUGGAGUGCCUUCGGGAGC